RNAcentral lists this ribosomal RNA (482 nucleotides) under Streptococcus parasanguinis. Its description in RNAcentral is "bacterial SSU rRNA". It matches the Rfam family "Bacterial small subunit ribosomal RNA", at positions 28 to 494 of the family's 1533-position model. The record is from RNAcentral. Lineage: Bacteria; Bacillati; Bacillota; Bacilli; Lactobacillales; Streptococcaceae.
GAUGAACGCUGGUGGCGUGCCUAAUACAUGCAAGUAGAACGGUGAAGCUUGGUGCUUGCACCGAGCGGAUGAGUUGCGAACGGGUGAGUAACGCGUAGAUAACCUGCCUCUUAGCGGGGGAUAACUAUUGGAAACGAUAGCUAAUACCGCAUAAAAGUCGACAUCGCAUGAUGUUGACUUGAAAGGUGCAAUUGCAUCACUAAGAGAUGGACCUGCGUUGUAUUAGCUAGUUGGUGAGGUAACGGCUCACCAAGGCGACGAUACAUAGCCGACCUGAGAGGGUGAUCGGCCACACUGGGACUGAGACACGGCCCAGACUCCUACGGGAGGCAGCAGUAGGGAAUCUUCGGCAAUGGGGGCAACCCUGACCGAGCAACGCCGCGUGAGUGAAGAAGGUUUUCGGAUCGUAAAGCUCUGUUGUAAGAGAAGAACGAGUGUGAGAGUGGAAAGUUCACGCUGUGACGGAUCUACCAGAAAGGACG